CAACGCGUGAAUAACAAUCAAUAGUCGUUGUACUUGGCAUGUGUUAGUUCGAAAGAGCGGUUUUUGCCGGUCUCUGAGAGGAUGAAUGAUAAAAUAUGCCAACUACCUGAGAGAUAGUAAAGAGGGAGGCAAUUCACUUCCAUGUGGACUACGGGUGAAUGUAUCUGUCCAUGUCUCGAUCGUUAACAACAAGUAGAAUACCAGAGAUCCCGUAACAAGAACAGGUCACAAGGUAUAAAAAAUGAAGAAGUUGUAUUGGUUUUGACUGUUGGGUAUGCCUUGGCAUGCCAGGGGCACGGCCAACACGAAGUGCUCUAUCGUAAAGUGCAACCACCACCACCACUGGUCAAUCUCGAUGUACCGUUAUGUCCAAGGCAGACGUUUAUAAUCAGACAUUUCAAGAACGAAAAUCUAUUAUUUUUAUAAACAACGGUAAGACAUAAAUAUAGAAUAAGAGAUUAUGUGAGAUAUUUACUACUAUCUAUUUCAAUCAUCUCUUGGGAAAUCGCUCAAGUCUAAUCCGUUUACUGUUCCGCCUCAAUUUUCAUCAUUAUAAUUGCAAUUUACAUUUUUCAUAGCUGUAAUACAAGAAGAAAUUUGCACAAUUUUCAAAUUCAAUUGAUAUUCCAUUUUAAUUGUAUAAUUAUUUUUGCCGAGAAGAUAUAUUUUUUUCCGAGAAAUCCACAGAUUUAUGUACAUUUGUAAUAUGAUAAAGGGCGAGAAGAGGUUUAUUAUAUGGGUUGAGUAAAGCCUGAAAGUAAA
Fopius arisanus is the source of this 762-nucleotide long non-coding RNA. RefSeq lists it as uncharacterized. The record is from RefSeq and is a predicted model, not a curated record. The transcript has 2 exons. Lineage: Eukaryota; Metazoa; Arthropoda; Insecta; Hymenoptera; Braconidae.